CCGGGGUGGCUCGGGAUGCUGCGAGCGGCGCGCGGCGGGGCCCGGCGGCUGCUGUGGGGCGGGCUCGCACCGCCACCGCCACCGCCGGCACACGGCCGCCUCCCCCCGCGGCUCUGCCUUCCGCGCCGCCUGCUCCAACAGGCGCCCCAGCCCGCCGUGCCGCCGCCCGCCGUGGGGCGAUGGCUCCUGGUUUGCAGCGGUGCCGUGGCCGGUGCCGUGGUGCUGGGCGGCGUCACCAGGCUGACAGAAUCAGGCCUUUCUAUGGUCGACUGGCACCUGGUGAAGGAGAUGAAACCCCCCCGAACGCAGCAGGAGUGGGAAGCCGAGUUCCAGAAGUACCAGCAGUUCCCAGAAUUUAAAAUCCUGAACCACGAUAUGACACUGCCAGAGUUCAAGUUCAUUUGGUACAUGGAGUACUCGCACCGCAUGUGGGGCCGCGUUGUGGGCCUGGCCUACAUCCUGCCUGCUGCCUACUUCUGGCACCGGGGCUGGCUCAGCCGGCCCCUCAAGGGCCGUGUCCUCGCACUCUGUGGGCUGGUCUGCUUCCAGGGGCUGCUGGGAUGGUACAUGGUGAAGAGUGGGCUGGAAGAGAAGCCAGACUCCUACGACAUCCCUCGGGUCAGUCAGUACCGUCUGGCAGCACACCUGGGCUCUGCACUGGUCCUGUACUCUGCCAGCCUGUGGACAGGUCUGUCUUUGCUGCUUCCACAGCACAAGUUGCCAGAAACCAAACAGCUCCUUCGCUUGAAACAAUAUGCUCAUGGCACUACAGCUCUCAUUUUUCUUACUGCUCUUUCAGGUGCCUUUGUGGCAGGGCUGGAUGCUGGCCUUGUGUACAAUUCCUUCCCCAAAAUGGGGGAGCGCUGGAUCCCAGAUGAUCUCCUUGCCUUCUCCCCCAUACUGAGAAAUAUUUUUGAGAAUCCUACAACUGUACAGUUUGAUCACAGGAUCUUGGGAAUUGCCUCUGUCACAGCUGUCACGGCACUGUACCUCUUCUCGAGGAAGAUCCCACUCCCUCGAAGGACCAGGAUGGCUGUGACGUCCUUACUGGCUGUAGCUUGCAUGCAGGUGGGCCUGGGCAUCAGUACCUUGCUGCUUUAUGUCCCUACACCUCUGGCUGCUACACACCAGUCGGGCUCCCUGGCCCUGCUCAGCAUGGCACUGUGGCUCAUGAGCGAGCUUCGGAGAGUUCCCAAGUAACGCCCCUGCGGGAGAACCCUCCCGGGGAGCCGCACCGCCGGACCCCGAUUCCCGGGUGCGCAGGGGGAUGUGCGCCCAGCCGGGCUGGCGCGGGAGGCGGCGGCGGGUGGUGAUCAUCACGAUGCUGGUCACCACCGCCGUGUGCUGCUACCUCUUCUGGCUCAUCGCCAUCCUGGCCCAGGCCAACCCCCUGUUCGGGCCGCAGCUGAAGAACG
Molecule: RNA transcript, 1415 nt
Organism: Parus major (Great Tit)
Lineage: Eukaryota; Metazoa; Chordata; Aves; Passeriformes; Paridae
Gene: COX15
Gene name: cytochrome c oxidase assembly protein COX15 homolog
Exons: 10
Source: RefSeq, a predicted model, not a curated record